AUGGUGGACUUGUAUAAAUUCAUGAAAAAUAUACAAUUAUCAACUAAAAAAGAGUAUUGUUUACAAAUUAAAGACUGUGUGGAAGUUGAGUUUGCCCAUGUGUGGUUCCUGGUAUUCUUUUUGCAGGUCCAGGUAAAAAUGAACAUUUUGCUUUCUUCUUUUUCAGUCACCUAGGUUCUAGUCUGGGUUUGUUUCUAAUUUGGGUAAUUGAGUUGUUACAAAAAUUGCAUGGUGGACGUUUCAAAAAUUGGGUUUAUGCUAUUUGCUCAACAUACACUUGCAUUUUAUACAUAGUUCUAUAUAUACAAAACCCUACACAAGAAAAGUCAAGCACCUCAGGAGCAUUUCAACAAGCACUAUACCUGCACAAUGUUGGCUUCUCCUACCAAAACUUCUCUCUAUAAUUUCUCCAAAAACCUUAUGGGUUACAACACAAAAAACUUCUCCUCGUCAACCUCUCUCGCCAUCACCACCAAGAAAACUUGGCAUUCUUCUUCUCUCACCCCAAAACCCCCAUCAAUUUCACAUAGAUUUCACUUGUUUUUCAUGUUCAUCUAACUUGUUUUCUUCCCAAGAUCCUUGGCUAAGAGUUGGCUCAAAAUUACGAGGAUGGAGUAGAAAAACCCAGAUGGGAUUACCUGAAGGUAUUUGUCAAAACCCUAAUUAUUUUCUUUGUUAUGUUUUUAUUUAUUUAUUUAUCAAAUUUCUAUGGGGAAAUGAAUAUAAUUUUUAAUUAUUGGAUAUGGGGCUGUAUGAAAUAACAGUUGGAACAAAAUUAGAGGCCCCAAAGGUCUUGCCAUUGCAAGAUUUGUGGUCAUGCAACAAAUGUUUGCCUCAAGUCUCUAAAAAAUCUAUUUCAAUGUUUCCUAGAGAAAUCUCCAAAGAAGCAUCAAAUACUUGAACUGAAAUUAAAAAAGAAAGACAUACACUAAUAUAAUAUUUUGCCUAUUGGAUGCCCGUGGUUUGAUCCACUUGAAGACGCUCGCGCUCUAAAAGGUCAAUCCAAUUUGAUGCUCUUGAUUAUUGUUCUCCAAGAGAUGAACAUAGGUCGAUAUUAUGAAUAACGCAGAACAUAAAGAUCAAGUCAAUGUCCCUCAAAUGGUGAUGUGGCAGUUGCUCUACCCAAUUAUUGAAAUUCGGCUAAUAGAUUCAAAAUCUCCCACCAUGUUUGGUGGAAAAGCUAGUUGUUCUUUUCUUUGUGGUUGUUAGGAGAUCAAAGCGAUUUGUUUCCUUUCAGGUUGAUUUUAUUUUAUUUUAUAUUAUAUCGUUCUCUCUCGGAUUGUGUGAGUCAUGUUUAAGCUAAUUUUGUGUUGUUUAUUAACGUGUUUUGUGUAGUCUCUAAAAUUAUUCCCGCUCCUGUAGGUUUUGAGCCUAUGUUUAUAUCUUCUUUUUUAGUAAUAAAAUCUUAACAAAAAAGAAUGUUAUCAAAGCAGAAAGCAUCUUAACAAAAAAGAAUGUUAUCAAAGCAGGAAGCAUUGUUUACCUUUUCUAUCCAUCCUCAAUAAUAGUGAUUAUUCCAUUACAAGUUUUUUGGUACGUAUCCUUGCUCUGUUUGAUAAUCAUGCAUUUAUGUGUAUAAUACUAUAAGUAAGCUUGUUGAAUUUUGCAGUUACUUGUCUUGGUCUCUUGCAUUCAUGUGAAACCAGAUGUCGUAUGCCCAUGGAAAAUCACUGAAUAUGACUCUAAGAGCAGGGA
This 1695-nucleotide long non-coding RNA is filed under the name Actinidia chinensis (golden kiwifruit). Its description in RNAcentral is "long non-coding RNA (ACHI_LNC006111)". Lineage: Eukaryota; Viridiplantae; Streptophyta; Magnoliopsida; Ericales; Actinidiaceae. The record is from RNAcentral.